AUUGAACGCUGGCGGCAGGCCUAACACAUGCAAGUCGAACGAGUGGCGGACGGGUGAGUAAUGUCUGGGAAACUGCCUGAUGGAGGGGGAUAACUACUGGAAACGGUAGCUAAUACCGCAUACUUAUAGAUGUAUCCGCGCGGCAUUAGCUAGUUGGUGUGGUAACGGCUCACCUAGGCGACGAUCCCUAGCUGGUCUGAGAGGAUGACCAGCCACACUGGAACUGAGACACGGUCCAGACUCCUACGGGAGGCAGCAGUGGGGAAUAUUGCACAAUGGGCGCAAGCCUGAUGCAGCCAUGCCGCGUGUAUGAAGAAGGCCUUCGGGUUGUAAAGUACUUUCAGCGGGGAGGCGUUACCCGCAGAAGAAGCACCGGCUAACUCCGUGCCAGCAGCCGCGGUAAUAC
Molecule: ribosomal RNA, 406 nt
Filed under: uncultured bacterium
Lineage: Bacteria
Description: partial 16S ribosomal RNA
Rfam family: Bacterial small subunit ribosomal RNA
Source: RNAcentral